UGUUAACAUAAGAUACAUGAAUAUGUAUUUUUAUUACACAUUUUCCUAAUUUUCACGCGAUGUAAUAUCGGAUGCCAGCGAUGUGUAAACGUUUAUCUUUUAUGUUAUUGCAUUGUUUUACAUCUGUGUAUUUUUCUUUUUAAUUUUUGAUUUAAGGUAGUUUUAUUUAGUAUAGUUCUUGGAGUAACCUUCUACACUGAAGGAUCUUUCUGCUUAAGAAUUUGGUUGCACCAUGGAUAUUUAGAUUCCAGACUGUUAAGAUAAUAUGCAAGAACUUUGUCAAAUAGUUGCUUAUAGUUGCUUCUUUAUCUACUUCGACUACAUAAUUCAUUAGGUUUUGGGUAGUUGCCUUGAAUAUUAAUUUGGGGCCUCCAAGUAGGCAUGUGGCUGUGGGUGCUAUCUUCUCCUGCUUCUCCCUGUUCUAGCAGAAGGGUGUGUUCCGUUUAGUGGCGUAUACUACCUCCGAGCAGAACUAGAAGGUGAAUAAGGAGCAUUCUUUAAAUUUAGCGUAGCUUAUUUUGCAGCAUACAACUGACCAAAACAGUGGAAUCUUAUGGCCACCUGGAAUCGAUAGUAGUGUUGGGCCCAUUGAACAGUAUUUUGGGGUGUUUGAUACAGAGUUGUAAAAGCAUCUGGUGACGGUGGCGCCAGCUCGCCGUGAGUUGGCAGCAAAGAAUCUUGCGUUACAAGUCAAUAGUUCAAUCACGGACGCAACGGCGUCCAUAUUGCUCCGUAUUCAGUGAAUCUAUUACGGUUUUGGGUGUUUGUGUUGCGUUUUGUGAGUUGGAUGAAACAUUGCUGAUGUGGCAUACAUAAGACUCGUGGUGCGUUAUUGGACACGAAUGUUGUAAUGUUAUUGGUGAUGCGUUUCUUGGUUUGGAAUGCUAUGAAGUGGAACUUGUUCGUGGAGUCGUUUUCAGUACUGGUCAGUACCUUCGUGCUGAAUUUGAACGAUGUUAGCAACCAAAUUUGUGGAUUGAACGUAAAAUUAUGGAAGUUAGAAGGGUCUUUGGAGUUUUGUUCAAUUUUAUUUUCUCUGUAGUGUAAAAAAAAAAAAAUUUAAUCUUGUUUUCUGUGGCUUUGUUUCAUGUUGACUUGUGAAAACCUAGGUGUAGAUAAUUUUAUUGGAUAAAGUAAGAGUUUUCCGGAUAGGAAAAGAAGGGUCUCGGUAUACGGAAUAGUUAUUAAGGGAAUUUGAACUGAUAACUGAGUUUUCCGUAAAUUAACUAUGGCUUGGGUGAAAUCUCAAUGUUUAUGUCAACAUGUUUUAACCAGCGUUGUAAUCUACUAAUUUAUUAUGUCAGUUUACUUUAUUAAUGUAUACCUAUCAGUGAAAAUAAAUCUUAAAUUACCCCAUUA
This 1359-nucleotide long non-coding RNA is filed under the name Daphnia magna. Its description in RNAcentral is "uncharacterized LOC116928571, transcript variant X2". Lineage: Eukaryota; Metazoa; Arthropoda; Branchiopoda; Diplostraca; Daphniidae. The record is from RNAcentral.